AAUAAUAAUAAUAAUAAUAAUAAUAAUAAUAAUAAUAAUAAUAAUAAUAAUAAUAAUAAUAAUAAUAAUAAUAAUAUAAGGGCAUGUAUCGGAGUUUCUAAACUCUACUUUGCUUUGCGUACUUGUCCUCCUAGUAUUUUUGAGGCUGCUCAGCGCACUUUUGACGAGGCUCUUCGUUCUUCUUUGGAGCGUAUUGUUAAUGCUUCGGGGCCUGGCUUUGGUGAUUGGCAGUGGCGACUUGCCACCUUACCUUUUUCUUUUGGCGGACUUGGUGUUUAUUCUGCGGGUGAUGUUCGACAUUAUGCUUUUCUUGCUUCUCGGUUGCACUCUUCUGGUUUGCAGACACAACUUCUACGGCAUGCUGAUAUUGUUGGUCUUGAUCGAGCAUUUGAAGAUGCUUUGAGUCUAUUUAGUGGAACGGUGGAGUAUGACAUUCCGAGUAACCCUAGUGAGGUCGCUGCCCCUAACUUUUGAAAAAAUUGACAGAUAUAUAUUUCACAAAGGUUACUGCAUCUGCAGAAUCCACCUUCUCUUUAUCGUCUCGGCAGUUGGCGUUAUGGAAAUCGCAGCAGGGAGAUCACACCUCUGCCUGGCUUCAUGUGGUCCCCAUAUUAGGUUUGGGACAGACGAUGAAUGCUAAGGCUUAUCGGUGUGUGUUGUGUUACCGGUUGAGGGUUCCUUUGUUCUCUGUUACGGUGCCGUGUUCUGCUUGCUCCAGGGUCUUUGCGGGAGACAUCUUUGGUGAUCAUGCGGUGUCAUGUGUUAGCAUCGUGGGUAUUAAACAUCGGCAUAAUGUGGUUCGGGAUACCCUUGUUGAUGUUUGUUAUCGGUCUGGGAUCUCGGUGCGGAAAGAGGUUGAUAUUGGUCUAUCUGGAGGGAACGAUGGAGCUCUCCGACCAGAAGACGUGUUGCUCUACUCUUGGGAUCGGAGCUGUGAUGUGUGUGUUGACUUGACGGGAUCUUCUCCUUUCACAGUCUGGGUUGUUUGGCUUUGCCCCGGGCCGGGUUGUGACUGAUGCGGCUAUUCGGAAGCGGGUCAAGUACGAAGCACGUUGCAGGGUCAUUGGUUAUGGCUUUCUUCUGUUCUCUUUCUCUUCUUUGGGGGAGCUGGAUAAGGAUGUUGUUGCAUUGCUGAAGCGGAUUCAGAAAUUUUCUAGGACGCAGGAUAUUGGGGCUCGUGCUGCUGCUCAUAUUUUCACUAGGAUAGGUUUCGCUAUAGCCAGAGGAGUGGGGGCCCAGAUUGUAUCUCGGUUGCCCACUAAUUAUUUGUAAAGUGUUUGACUUUGUUUGCAUUUGAUUUGGUGAAAUAAUAAUAAUAAUAAUAAUGAUAAUAAUAAUUAUUAUUAUUAUUGUUAUUGUUAUUGUUAUUGUUAUUAUUAUUAUUAUGAAAUGCCCCCGAGGUUUGCAAAAACGCACCAAAUACCCUCGCGUAAUUUGAAUCACAUAAUAUACCCCUAUUUUUUCCCAAGUUUGCACCAAAUACCCCUAAACCGACCUUCCGUUAGUCCUCCGUUAAGUCGUGUUUAUAAUUCACAGAAUACCCCUAUUUAUAAAUUUAUUGCACAAUAUACACCUAUUUUGAAACUAAGUUGCACCAAAUACGCAAAAUGCUUUUAAACUGCAGAAUUUAAUUUCCACAAAGCGUUCACCUAAUUAAUCAAAUUAAUCAACCAAAAAGUUAAACCUAAAACAUGAAAUAGAAGUAAUAAUCAAAGAAAAUUGAAAUGCUCAAACAACAAAUCCAAUAAGAAAUUGAUUGAAUUGAACUUGAUGCAACUGUUCGAGGAAUUCAUUAUCUUAUACGGGGAAACUAAUCUAAUGGUUUUGUAGUAAUUGAACUUGAUGCAACUGUUCGAGAAGCUGCUUUACAGGGUUUGUUGGAGCUAGCACGUGCAAAACUUGAUGAGACCACUGGACAGUCAAUGAGCGAAGAUGAUAAAUUGAAGCAGCUGCUUGAAGAACGUAUUCAAGGCAUCAUCUUGAUGUCACAGGAAGAGCUUGAGGCUGCCAAGGAAGAUAGGCAACUGGUUGAUUCAUUGUGGAACACUUGUUACAACAAGCCUUCUUCGCUUAGGGAGAAAGGUCUUCUUGUACUUGCCAAGAUUUGCCUCCACCUGAUGUUGCCAGCAAACACUUUGAACCUCCUCUUCGAGCUUGGGCUGCGAAACGUGAACCUAAGAAACCUUCUGAGCGAAAAGAAAUGCAUAAACAAAUGCAUACUAGUCAUACCCAUUCUUGCAGCAGGUGCGGCACUGCAACACACAAAAAAGUACCAUUAGCACUAACCUCAAGCAUCUACCGAAAGCCUCACAGCAGGUUCUAUCUUGUACAAAAUUUUCACGAAGGUAUUAUUCUGAUAUAAACAAAUAUUCUCUUGCAACAUAAGAGAAAUCAAGCUCAAAGAAUCAUCAAAAUUAGUCUCAAUAAUUCGGUAGUUCCAUAUUGGUUCAAUUUUAUUGAACUUAACAAUAUCCACCCACUAUUCUUUAAACUUUGCAUACAGAUCAGUUAUAAAGUCAGUCCGAUCAACAUAUUUUCUCAUAUACAUGUAAUUAACAACCCAACUUUUAGCCUUAUCAAACAUGUGUUGUGAAGCCAAGUAGCUAACUCUACUAUUUCAUCUUCAAGAAUAUAGCAAAGGUUCUUUCUACAUUUCUGUAUUCAAAUUCUAGGAUUAGACCCAUAAAAGAUGGGAAAUUCUGGGUUACAUACAUACCAAAGAGGCUGAUUGAAUGAUCUCUAAUUCACUAGAUUUUCUUGGAGAUUUCUUGAUUCUUUUGUUUCUCCUGAAACCUGAUUACUAAAACAUGUAUGCAACAAACCUACAAUCAAGCAUUCAAUCCCCGUAAAAUUCUAAUUUUUGGCAAAAAGAUAAAUUUACAAACUCAACACAAAUAUGGUUCAUAAUAGCAGCAAAUGUAUUAUGUUUGAAUUCGAAAAAUCAGUCAAUUUACUCUAAUAGUCUAUCACUUCCACCGACAACAACAACAACCAGAAAAUUGACAGCAACAACAACAAUGGCAAGAAAAAACAACAACAAUCAACACUGAAAUCAAUAAAUAGCAGCAAAUGGAUUAUGUUUUGAUUCGAAAAAAACAAUAAAUUUACUCUAAUAGUCCAUCAAUUCCCAACAACAACAACCAGAAAAUUGAAAACAAUAACAACAAAAACCAACAACAAUGACGACAACAACAUUCAACACAAAUCAAUAAAUGCAAUUCCAAUCUAGUCAAGGAGAGAAGGAGAGAGUGGAACCUCACGACGGGCAAAUUCGACAGCGGCGAAUAAGGACGUCGGAAAGGGGAAGGAGAGAAUCGACUUCCGUCGGCGGCCAGAGAGCAGGAGUCGGACGCCGCCGGCGACCAGAGAGCAGGAGGAAGAACAUCGGAGAGGAGAGAGAAAGAUAAAGAGAAAGAAGUUGAGAUUUUUUUAUUUUUUUUUGGAAUUUAUGUCGAAAAAUACGUAUUAAGGGUAAAAUAGUAAAACACGACUAACGGCAGACUAACGCCGUUAACUCAAAGGUGCAUCUCAUGAACAGUACGCAAAAAUAGGGGUAUAUUAUGUGAUUCAAAAGACGCGAGGGUAUUUGGUGCUUUUUUGCAAACCUCGGGGGCAUUUCAUGAAAAAACCGUUAUUAUUAUUAUUAUAAUAAUAGUAGUAAUAAUAAUAAUCUCGACAUUUUAAAUGUGUUGAUUCGAAGGCUCGUUACAAAGCCUGUGUUGAUAGUGACUUUUGUUUAUUCUUUGCUUUGGACUCUACGCUUCAUCAGGUUGGCAUUUGGCUUUGUGGUGAGUGUUUUUGUACUCAUGCUUACAGUAAGAGUUGUAAGCAUGCCGAUAGUGUUGUGGUUUUUGCCCCUAAUUUUGAUGAAAUUGCAAUCCAUGGUAUCCCCGAGCCUUCUAUGUCGGGUUUGGUGGUUGUUGAUGGUGCGAUCGAUAUUUCUAUUUGUACUCUUGAUAGGGGUCGUAGCCUUGGCAUUGGAGAGUUGGGGGUGUCUUCUUCUUCUUUUCCAGCCAAUACUGAUUUGUUGCAUAAAGUUUUGGCGGGCCAGUGUCGUACCGUUAAAAGUAUUCCCAAAGCUAACCGACUUGGCUUUUCUCGGUGCCUUAAAGCUGCUCUUGACAAAGUCGUUGCUUCCCCGCGAGACCUUGCCUCAUGGAUCCUUUUUCUCCUUCUCCCUUAUGCACCCUUAGGGUUUUUCGGUCACGCGCCAAUAACAAAUCAGGGAGGAAGGGUUGUUGUCAGGUUGAAGGUAUUUCACGGGCUCUUCGGGUCUGGAGAGAGCCAGGUGGUCCUGAGACUUUGGUUAAAGAGCUUCUCAAAGAAGGUGUUCGUCGGUCGGCUACUUUGAAGGUUGAGGGUGAGUUUGCGAGGAAGAAAGCUAGUUUUGAAACGAUGAACAUGAAGCAAUAUAUGAGGAAAGUCAGUGAUGGGCGUUUCACUGAUGCUGUUAUGGUCUUGACUUCAUCGGGGGUUGCACCCAAGAAUGAAGAGACUUUAGGGGAGUUGGAGAAGAAGCACCCCAGUGCGUCGUGUCCAAUUUUUCCUACCUUUUGUGCUGAUGUUGAGGCGGUUUCGGCUACUAAGUAAUGUUUUAAGCAGGAUUCGUAGUUUUCCUAAGGGAACAUCUUGUGGUCGUGAUGGUUUUCGGGCUCAACACCUUGUUGAUACGCUUGGUAAGGCCGCUGUUGCAGUGGUUGAUGAUUUAGCCACCUCUAUUACCGCGAUGGUUAAUCUGUUACUUGCCGGUCUUUGUCCUGCUAAUUUGGGUGAGUUUAUUGCUAGUGCCCCACUUACGCCCUUGCUCAAGCCCGGGGGUGGGAUUCGACCCAUUGUUGUGGGGACGGUAUGGAGGAGACUUGCCACCAAGGUUGCUGCUGUCAUGGUCAGGAAGGACGUUGGAAAGUAUCUUGAUGUUUUUCAGUUUGGGGUUGGUGUGCCCAACGGGAGUGAGGCUAUCCUCUAUGCCGUCAACAGAUUGGUUGAGGCUAAAGGAGGUGUGCAAAACAUGUAUAUGCUUCUAGUUGAUUUUAGCAAUGCCUUUAAUAUUGUAGACCGAAGCACUAUGCUUAGAGAGGUUCGACGUCGAUGCCCUUCGCUCUCUCCUUGGGUUGAAUUCUGUUAUGCGCGGCCCGCACGAAUUUACUAUGACGACUCUAUCUUGCUCUCUUCCCAGGGAGUUCAACAGGGUGAUCCUUUGGGGCCUUUGUUGUUUGCGCUUACCUUGCAUCCACUUAUCCAUAUCAUCAACGAGAAAUGCAACCUGGAUUUGAUGGCUUGGUACCUAGAUGAUGGUACCAUUAUUGGAAACACUUGGUUUCGUCUGCUUUGCAUGUGAUCACUACAGAGGGUCCGACGAUGGGGCUGCACCUCAAUGUUGAGAAAACCGAAAUCUUUUGGCCUACUCCAGAUCCGAGGAGCUACGAUCCCACACUUUUCUCUUCGAAUUAUGUCCGCCCAUUGGACGGGGUCAAACUUCUUGGCGGUCAAGUCAGCUUCAAUGCUGAUUUUUGCAGUCGCUUGAUAGAGGAUAGGGUGUCAAAAGCUGUGGUUUUUAUGGAGGCAGUUGCUGGCCUUAAUGAUCCUCAAUCGGGGCUCCUCCUUCUACAAAGUUGUGUGGGUGUCAGCCGUUUGUACUUCUCUUUACGGACUUGUCCCCUACAUAUUAUCGGGUAAGCUCCUCUUACGUUUGACCAUGCCUUAAGGAAGGUUCUCCAGGAGAUUAUUGUGGAUGGAGCUUGUGGCUUUGGUGAUUGGCAGUGGCGCUGUGCCAUUCUGCCUUUUCGGUUUGGUGGAUUUGGGGUCUAUAUCGCGCAAGAUGCUUCCGAGUACGCGUUUGUUGCCUCGCGUCUGUGUUGGAAAUAAAGCUUGAGAAAGAAGUCCGACCGAUGGUCAUCGGGCGGUGGCGCCCGAUCGGGCGCGCGUAUAAUGUGAAAAUGGGCGAGUAAUUCGCCCGAUCGGGCGGUUGUUGCACGUCGGGCGGUGGGCGCCUGAUCGGGCGGACCAUCCGUGUAACACCCCGACAAUUCUCCUUUUUCUAAAAUAACCCUUUUUAUAAAUAUAACUAUAGAGAAUUAUCAAAGUAUUAUCGCCCGUGUGAAAAUGUAACGGCUUAUUCAGAAAUUUGCAGCGGAAAACAUAAAACUAACUUUAGGUUUAUAAAUAAUCAAUUACAGAAUUAAUCCCAAAAACCAAUCAACGAAAAUAAGGAAAUGUAAAUAGUACGACAAGUUUAAAGUCAAAUUUAACAAACCCAAGUCACUUAGCAAAACAAAAUAAAUACAAGCUCUCUAAUCCCGAUCCGAAUGAUGCAUCAUCUUCAAACCUGUAGAUGAGCAACGCUUAUUGAUCUUUAGAGACUGCUCACCAAAAUGGAUCAUCACAGGAUCAAUACGGCAUAGCCAUGAUCAACACACACAAACAUCGCACGUAAUCAGCAAAGUUGAGUACUACAUACUAAAACAAUAAUAAUCCUAACAUGAUUCUAUUAAACGAACAACCCUAACAUGAUACUAAUAAAACAUAAGUAAGGAUCGAUAACCAAAACAUAUUAACUUGAAACUAUAUUUGACUGAACUAGACCUUUGUAUCAUUAACAUUAUUUUAAUUGAAAUAGUCAAUGGACUGAGUUGUCUACUAGAAGCCUUCACUAAAGAAGACGAGGUAUGGGCGUGACUCCGUAACUCCAAUGACCUGCGAUAUCGAGGAACUUUUGAAUAAAAUAGAACCGGUGAUCAAUCCGGCCCCAGAAAAAGCCAUAGGCGACCCAUGACCCCAACUCCUAAUUGUCCGUCACUUCAGAAGUGCACAGUCUAAAGCUAUUGCUACUCAGUUUUAAUUUACAUGAUUUACAAAUUGACACCCUAUUAUGACUCAACAAUCACAUAAGGCAUACAAUCCACAUUUAUUCACAACUGUUUUUAUCUUGGAAUUAAGUAAGUGAUCACAAAGGUAUCAAACAAGACUCAUUCCAAUUAAAUCCAACCUUUCCUUUAAUACUGAUCAACCCCUCUAUAUGGGUAUAAGGUUUCAACUUACUAAACAAGGUCCACGGCCCUCAUAAAGUAGUGAAAAACUAAAAGGGAACAAUGAACAAUCGAUCUGAAUCAAUAUAUAUAAAAUAAUCUAGUGUUCCCAAUCCAACAUGUUUGCAUCAAUCAUCUACUAACAUGUUAUAAUCCUUGUAACGAAAUACAUAUGUUCAACAUGUCCAUCCAACAAUAUUAAACAUGAAAUUCCGACAUAAUCAGGUUCAUCAAUAAAUUUCAACUUGGUUUCAACAGAUAACGCACAUUCUAAGCACAUAGGUAUGUAAGUACCUUGUGGAAACAAACUGAUAGGCCACUUUAACACUUUCAAAAGUCGCCUAAAGAGAAUUCUCCGCCUAAAACAAUCAACAAAUAUUCCCAAUCAAUUUCUAAUCAUUCGCAACCAUAAUAAAGCAUUCUAAAUACAUCCUAAAUGAAGGAAAUAAUACCCUUGGUGCAAGUAUUCAUUUAAUGUUAAGUCUAAUAAAUGCGGUUCAGUGUUAAUCAUACAAGUUAAUAAUUCAGUGAGAUCAAGUGAACUGUAUGCCUAGCUAGAGGCCGCUUCAGUUCAAGUGGAAUUAAUGAUAUUAAUCCACAGCUUACUCUUGACUGAACCCGUAGGGUCAUACAAAUAGUACUUAAACGGAUCAAGUAUUUAAUGGUAUUAAAUACUCCAUCUAUGGAUAUUCGGAAUCGACGGAUCUUGGUUCCAGUGGGAGCUGAGAUCGUCAAAGGCAAAUUAUGAAUACUCCGGAAACGAUGAUAUUGCCGGAAACGGAAAUAUGGAUCGUAUCGGAAAUAUAAAUAUUAUCCAAGUCGCAGAUGUUGCCGGAAACAGAAACAUGGUACGUAUCGGAAAAUAUUAUCGGAAAAGGAAAUAUUGCCGGAAUCGGAAAUAUUGCCGGAAACGGAAAUAUUGUCAGAAUCGGAAAAUAAUUCCGGAAACGGAAAUAUUAAAUAUUUGUUCGAAACGGAAAUUAAUUCCGGAAUCGGAAAUGUUAAAUAUUGUUCGUAUCGGAAAUGAAUUCCGGAAUCGGAAAAUUAAUCGGAAGCGCGUCGUACGAAUAAGCAUCGGACGAGCUUGUUAGACGAAGGCCCAGCGCGAAUCCAGGCCCACGUCCAGCAAGCCCAACGCGCGUCACAGCAGCCCAAGGCAACGCCAGGCCCAGCGCAAGGCCAUGCCCAACGCACCAAGGCUGCGAGCACAUGGCAGCGAGCUCGUAUGGGCUGCGAGGCCUGCUGCGGGCUUUGCGUGCGCGCGGGCAUGGCCUGCUCGCAUGUGGGCCAUGCUCGUGUGCGUGUUAGAGUUUGUGCAUAAUUCGAAUGCUUAAGUGAUUAGGAUUAGAUUAAUUUUCUGAUUUACUAGUUUUAAUGGAACUCUAAUUCUAAAAGAAUUAGGAUUCUUAAAGUCCUAGUAGAAUUCCAAUACCAUAUUCCUUCCCUAUAAAUAGGUGAUCAUAGUUCACAAUUUAUAACGAGUAAUUCAAAUAUUCAUUCAAGUUUUAGGCUUAAAACUCAGAUUUUUAUUUGUCAUAAAAUCCGAAAAAAUACAUAGUAACUUAGUGCAAUUCUAGUUAAUUAAAUCUAACGUGGAUCCGAGCGUGCUGUGCACUAUCUACGGAGGGACGACAUUUGGAGUCCUAGACUUGUUCUUGUUCGGUUCGGGCACAGCUAGGGAGGGCACGCUACAAAUAGACCUGGUUAUCGGGCGGGUCGGGUCAGGGUCGGUGCGGGUCAAAAGAGGGUUGGGUAUUGAAAGGGUCGUUUUUAGCGGGUCGAUAAUGGGCGGGUCAAAAGCGGGUCGCGGGUCAAUAGCGGGUCAUUAGUGGGCGGGUCAAUAAAGCAAUGAAAAAUGAAAAAAAAGAGCCAUGUGCAAGUACAAGUGAGUACGAAGCUAUACACGUAAUUUUUUGUAUCAUUACUAUUUUAAUUUUCAAAAUAAUUGUAGUAUAAGUUUGACCCUAUAACGACCCUGUCCAAUAAAGGCCCUGUCCAAUAAGAGCCCUGGCCAAUAAAAGCCCUAUUAACUUGACCCUAACCCUAUAUCCAUUGGACUACCCUGUCCAAUAACCAGGUCUAGCUACAAAGAGUAUGCCUCAUAAAUUAUGCUAAUUGUUAUGUGGCAAUUAAUUUGGAUUCCUGGCUUUAUGGUUUUUCCGCAUGAUUUAUAUUCAGUUAUAUGUAUCAUAACCUAACAGUAGUAUCACGAGCCUCUAAUUAAUUCCAUAAAAUUGCUUAACAUGGUUAAAUUUUAUAAAUUUGCAAGGAAUUAAAAGGGGUGAUUAAUUUCGUAAUUGUAAUUAAUUGCAAAUUUGCGAUUAUUUAAUUAUAUGUUCGCAGUGUUUCGGCAGCUUCUUCGUUUCUCAACGAAAUCGAGUGAUUUUUGUGUCAAUUCUGUAUGUACAAGGCAUUCUAAAAUUCUGACAAAAAUACUAUUUUUCGGCCUAAUCCAGAAUUCCCAAUUUCGAAGCCUAACUAUGACUUUUCGGAGGUUUUAGUUUUCCGAACGCUAAAUUUGAAAUUUUUAAGAUGUUAAAUUAAAUAUUUGCGCUUCUUGUUGUUAAAUCUUGAAUUUUUGAUUGACCUACUGUAUAUGUUUAACAGAUUUAAGUGCCUAAGCUUGUUAAUUAUACAACCUAAUUUGUAACUGUAAUUAAUUUGUUGAAAUUCGAAUAAUUUAGAAUUUGAUUUGAUUUUCAUAAUUAAUUGACAAUUUAAUUAGGUAUACAUGAUUAAAAACCACCAUAAAAAUUGUUAAUUUUGAUAAAUUUUAAAUUUUUAUGACCUAGAUUUGAGUCCAUGAUAAUCGGAAAUUAAUUGAUAAAUAAAUUUUCGAUUUUUCGCCCUAAAUUUAUGAAAUUAAUAUUAUUUAUUAAUUUGUCUAUAAAUUUGAAUUAAAAAGUUUUAAUUUUUAUAUAAUUCGCUCAUGAAUGUUGCACGCACAAAGCAAAGGAAGCUACGUGUUACCCUUAAGGUGUGUUGUAUAGUGCGGGCAUGCGACGACGAGUAAGGGAGCUCGUCGCCCAUGCGGUACGAAUGCAGCGAGCAACAAGCAAUGGCGCGCGCGCAAGGCAGUGAUGCCUGGGCAUGUGUGCUGCGCGAUGGGCGAUGGGCGAUGGGGGCAAGGCACAAGCCGAGCGAGCAGACGCGUGUGGGCAGCGAUGGAUACUGCGCCACAGCGCGCGCUGCCUCACCGAGUGAGGCGGGCUGCGCGCAUGCUUGGCCUGGGCUGGCUGCGAUGCGUGUGGCCUGCUCGUGCAUUGUUGUGCGAUCAGUCGUUGGGGCGCUGCUGCCUCGUGACUCGAUGGGGCUUGGGCGCAAGCCCAAGUGCCUCGUCUUGUUACGAUUGAUGCGUUUUGAAUUUAAUUUUAAAUUUUCAGUUCGGAAACGAUUUUAAUUAACUUUAAAAUUCCUAAUUUAAAUUGUUUUCUCGGAAUUUAAUUUUGAAUAAUAUAAUUAUUAUAAAUUCUAAUUUAUACUAAUUAUUUUACUAAAAUUAAAACCUUGAAUAAAUUUAAAUUUAUUUAUUUAAUUCAACUGAAAAUACAUUAAAGGAUUCAAUUAAUAAUUUAUUUGAGCUUUAAAUUUUAAUUAAAUUUGUAUGUUUCCGGUUAGACUAGGAAAUACAAUUUUAUGUUUAAAAUUAGUAAAGCAUGUAAAUUUAUUGGUUUAAGUGGGAGCGUUUUAGUCAUAAAUUCUUGAUUAGGUCUACAUUCCUUUAAGGUUAAAACGACUUGAUUAGAAUUAAUAAGGAUUGAAUAAUUGGUAGAUUAUUGGAACCCUUGAUUAAUUACUGCAAAUAUUUAUGUAAUGCAUAAUAUGUUCUACUAACCAGCUAUGUGGGCCAUUCAUUGAUAAAUGAAUGGGUGAAUGGUAUAUAUUGUAUAUGUACUGUUUUGCAGGUUGCAGAAAAGUGACUAGUAUGGCCCAAAUAGGAUAGAAAAUAUGGCCUGCGUACUAUUAAUUUGAAUGUAAUAUUGGUCUAAUGCACCAAAGUUUUUAAUUUAAAUAUGGUCUGCGUACCAUCAAAUAGUUGUAAUUAGUUUAAAUUAUAGCUUAUCCUAUUUGAAGAAAAUGACGCCUCCCAUGGUGAAAUUCAAGACGGAGUUUCCAAUCCAUUUUCAAGACGGACUUUGAAGUUGAAUCUUCAAGAUGAAUUCGGGCCAUACUAGAUCACAUUUAUUGUAAUCCCCCAUAAUUUUAUAUAUUUUGUUUAUAUAUUUUAACGUAUAUUAAUAUAUUUAAAUAUAAUUUACGGAUUUCAGAAAUGAAUAUGUAAUUAAAAUAUAAUUAUUUUAUUUCAUUUUGAAUACUUUUAAUGAUUUACGAAAUCAAAAUGUAUAUUUGAAUUUUACGUUAAAACGAUUUCGAAUUACGAAACCACGUUCUAUUGAAAUUAGAAAGCAAUACUAAACAUUGUGGAUUCAUCAACCUAAAUCCUACUCCUAGCCCAAUUGGGCAAAGCCCAAACCAAUAAACCCAACUAAAUACUCCCUCCUCUUCUCUACUCUUACGUGAAACCAAAAGAAGAAAAAAAAAUAAAAGAAAAGAGAAACCCUCCUUCAAUUCACGCACAACUCAGCCAUCUCUCCUUCCUCCCCUCCACGCCGUCGCCCACUGCCGGACCACCACCUGCACCGACGACCACCGUCGACCCUCGUGGUAACUCCUUCUUCCUCUCCCUUCUUUCGGUUGUCUUGCCCUGCUCCUCCUCGUCGUUUUUCCCCUCCUUAACGGUGUUAUUGGUUUCACAACACCACCUUUGCGCCUAGCCGCGCCGCUGAGCCACCGCCUUCGCCGCCGCCUCCGCGAGUCUCUUCGCCACCCGCACAACACCACCUUCGUCAGCUCAAUCGACCGUCGCUGCCGCGCCGCAAAGUCUACCGCCGGCCAGCCUCCUCCUCAUUCUCUCCUUGUGGUGGAGAAUUCUCUGUAGGCGACUUUUGAAUUAUUAAAGUGGUCUUGCAGUUUGUUUACACAAGUCUCUAAGGAUCAAUAAGCGUUGCCCAUCUACAGGUUUGAAGAUGAUGCAUCAUUGGGAUCGGGAUUAGAGAGCUUGUAGUUCUAUUCGUUUAAUUAAGUGAUUUAAUUUGUUAACUUGGAUUUGAAAUUUGUCGUACUAUUCGUAUUUCCUUAAUUCAGUUAAUUGGUUUGGACCUAAUAUGUAAUAGAUUAUUUAUGAACCUAAAAGUUAGUUUUAUGUUUUCCGCUGCAAAAUUCUGAAUAAGCCGUAACGUUUUCACACGGGCGAUAAUACUUUGAUA
Molecule: long non-coding RNA, 12292 nt
Organism: Spinacia oleracea (spinach)
Lineage: Eukaryota; Viridiplantae; Streptophyta; Magnoliopsida; Caryophyllales; Amaranthaceae
Exons: 4
Source: RefSeq, a predicted model, not a curated record